Lynx canadensis (Canada lynx) is the source of this 5512-nucleotide RNA transcript. It is a transcript of the gene named armadillo-like helical domain-containing protein 4, with no coding region annotated. The record is from RefSeq and is a predicted model, not a curated record. Lineage: Eukaryota; Metazoa; Chordata; Mammalia; Carnivora; Felidae. The transcript is spliced from 4 exons.
UGAGAAGCUGGAUGGAAAAACUAAAAGACAAGGCUGGCUACAUGUCUGGGAUGCUGGUUCCUGUAGGGGUUGGGAUAGCUGGAGCCUUGUUCAUCUUGGGAGCACUGUACAGCAUUAAGGUUAUGAAUCGGCGAAGGAGAAACGGCUUCAAAAGGCAUAAAAGAAAGCAGAGAGAAUUCAACAGCAUGCAAGAUCGAGUAAUGCUCUUAGCCGACAGCUCUGAAGAUGAAUUUUGAAUUGGAUGGGAGUUUAAUUGGGAUAUUCGACUGUGUUAUCGUUUUAUUUUUUAUUUUGGGGCAAAAAAAAGAACAGUAUCCUGCAACAUCACUACGGUCAGGCCAUCAGUCUUACUAUCUUCUGGGCAGUAGAUUUUUCUUGUACUGAGCUGAAAAGGCAUGCUGUAUACUUAAUGUAAUAGUCAGUGUUUGUUUUUCUUCUGUAGUGAAUUUCCCACAACCGUAGGCUACAACUCAUCAAUAUGCAACGUUCAUGUUGCUCACCAGGAGUUGCUAGAGAUGUAAGCAAAUGUGUGAAGUUGGUCAAGAAAAUGAGAAGCUCAAAUACAGUUAGAGGUUAACAAUUGACAAAUAAGCUCAAAGUCGGGUUUCAAAAAUAAAAUUCAGAGUCAUGACACUCAUAAGUAAUUUGUAAUUUCAAGAGCAGAGACAUCCUGAUACUGCAUAGGGUAUGUUUGUCUUUUCUAAGAGCAGCCCCUUGCUAUAAGGGUUCCUAAGGUUAGGAGGAGGCUGGGCAUGAUUGUUUUCUUAACAAGCUAUUUAUAGUGAACACACAAUAAACCAUUUCAUUCAGCAAUACCUGGGCAAUGCUAAUGGCUAUCAAUGCCUCAGGCUACUCUUAAUCUGUAGUUUUCACUAGACCAUGGCUAAUAGGUUGAACUUUCAAACUGUAGAAUAAUAAGGUCACAAAUAACAGACACAUAUUUUCAUUUUUUCCAGAAGGCCAUGGGGAUGAUAUGUGUGUGCAUUUAGGCUAAGCAGAAAUGUCUCCGCAGGCCUUUUUUGGGAAGGUGACUGUUAAAGAUGACUUAGAUCACAGUAGAUUUCUGUAUGAACCCAUUUCACCACCUGGGUUGUGUGGAAGGUUCUGUAGAUGGCUCAACUGCUGUGCUUAUCUUGGCCACUUUCCUCACUGUCAGUGGCUGUGGCACAAUGAUGUUGAGUAGUUAGCUGAAAUUACUGAGAGGUUGUUUAUCAGAAUUUUCAGAAAAGGUUGUCUUGUUCUAAACAAAACCCGAGAUCGGGGUGUUGCCACCAGAGGGGGUGCUGGCUAGUGGUUAUACUAUAGUCCAGAUUAAAAGUAGUAAAUCAGGCAUUGAUAGGUUUACCUAACAUAAGUGAUUGAUAUGCUCAUAUUUGCACAUUAAAAAUAAAAAGGCAAAUCUUUAUUCUAACAACGAACCUUAAAACAUUUAGCAACAAAAUAAAUAAAGCUGUCUGGUGGGGGGUGUGUGAUAGCUGCAAGUUUCAGUUGCUAACAUCUUCCCCUCUGAGCUGUAUUCAUCUUCUCAGAACUGCAGCUGUCCCACUGCAGGGGCAGGGAUUGUAUCUUAUUCUCAGAAGGAGAGGCAGUGUUUCCCAAACUCUGGCUCCUAGGAAUCACCUGGGAGAUGUGUUCAACACAACAGAUUCCAAGGCCCUGCCCCAGACCCAUUGAAUCAGUAUCUCCAAGGGAGGAGUUUGGGACUCUUGUACCCAGGCAAGUUAGAGAAUAGAGUUAGGAGGGCAUCUAUCCAGAGAACAGCUUCCUUAGUAAAGAGAUGAGGGAGAGCAGGUCCCAUGGGGAAGAAACGCCCUAGUCAGCUAUCCAAUAAAUCACACCUGCCGUUGUGGAGAAUGGAAAACAAAAGGAAAGAGAAAAGGGUAGAAGCUUCUAGAAUGAAUAGAAUGAUGGGUCAGAGAGAAAAGGUCUCCUCCUAUGUCCCUGAUGUCUUUUUCUCUAAUCAGAAGGUAGUACUUUUCUUUUACACCUCUUCAGAUUUUCCUCGCCCAUUAGCUGCUUCUUUCAGUAGCUGCUAGUUUAAUUUAUAUGCAAUAUUUGGAGUUAAUUAGUAUCCCAGGGAAACAGAUUCCCUUAGCAAUGCUUUAGCCCUGGCUUCAGCUCAUAAACUGCCUCAGAUACAGUCUUCCAGAAACAUUUUCUUCAAGUACCUGUAUCUCUUACAUAGGUCAAUAAUGUUGUGGGGAAAUUGUUAAAGCACAGUUUUAGGACAUAUUUAAAGUAGUUUUAGCUUGGUCAGUCACAGCCGAUUCUUUAUUUCAUUAUUAUUUUUUUUUUAAAGCUAAGACUUAAAAGUCAAAUGUUACAGAGACAUCAGAAAAUAAUAUAGAGCCAUAUAGAACAUUCUGAAUGCCUGGUGCUUUUCUCCACGUUCCUCCAGAUAUCUCUUUCAUGUGGAAGUCCAAGUGAAAUAUCCAAUUUCUGUGGAUAUGAAUAAUCAAUGUUUCUACCAGCUGCCAAAAAAGUAACUUUUGGGAAUAAGAUAUAUCAUGUAGCUGAAGUUUAUAGCUAUGUGCCCUUUUGGCAAGGUAGGCUUUGUUAUGAUUACAGGGAAAUCUGUGAAAGAAAUCUCUACUUUUAAGGGUAUGUGAAUGUAUGGUGACAAGGAAAGAAGUGUGGGUAGAAGAAGAUGCAAGAAAAGUCACGAUGCAAUGGAAACGUAAACAUGGCACAAAACACUGGAAUGUGCUAGAGGAGGCCAAAGCUCCAUCAAAUGGACGGAUGCUUGGAAAAAUGAUACAGACAAGUAAGGAGAAAAAGGCAAGUGAGUUAGGCCAUUGGCAGGGGAAGGUGCUAUAAAUCUAAAUUUGCUUCCAUCGUUUCCAUCAAAGAAAAUUAUCCUACACUAGGUAGAAAGGACGUGAGUGGGAGGGAAUUGAAACCCAAGAUCAGUGAGGAGACAAAAGGAGCUUGGUUACUUUAAGUAAUCUCAGUUAAAUAUCUUUCUUAAUUAAACAAAGUUCAAAUAAUUGUAUAUAAAUCUAUAGGAAUAGGAAACAAUUUGAAAGCAAAAUAAUGGUGUUGACCAAAUAAAAGCCCCUUAUUUGUAUGUUUAGCAUCCCCCGUAGGACACAGACCUUUUUGGGAUCUAUUUACUCCAUAAUUACCAAUUUUGGCAGUCAAAAAUAGCUGGAAACAUAAUUCUGUCACUUAAGUUCUACAUUCAGCAAAAAUAAUCUGCAUUUAUUUUGUAAGCCACUGUUAGCUAUACAAAUGCAUUGGGAUUACCCUAUUUUGGGUAAUUGAUACAUCUAACUCGCUGUUAAUUAGCCUAAAUUAUUAUGUGUAUAUAGGAUAAAGGAGAGGAAAGAAAGGAGGAAGAAAGAAAGAAAAAAGAAAGACAUUUCCUCCAGAUAACAGCAGCCAAAGUGCAAAGAAACAAAUCCUAUACUCCUCUCUUCUAGUAUGCCUAAAUACAGAAAACAAUAUUGGGGUAAAAAAAAACACACACACACACACAAACUCUCAAAUCUUCCAUUUAGUGAAGCAAAGGUCUUACUUUCCAUUCUCAAGAAGCAACAGGAACAAUAAUACAAAUAAUAACCAUUAAUAAUUUGUAAUAUGGACUAGUAUACAUUCUUACCCUAAGACAUCAGUCUCCAGAUCUGAAGUUUAAGACUGAUUUUGUUGAGAGGUGUAACCUUUUGUGGGAUAACGAUGGAGGAACUGAGGAGAAUUAACUACUGGGAGAAAAACCCAAUUUUUCCCUUCAAUGCUUAUAGAUAUGGGAACAGAGUACAAACAGAAUGGAAGGCGAAUGGGUGCUCACUUGGCUUCUUUUAUUACCUCUGAGGCUGGGAGGUCACUUGCUCUGGUCUUAAAAGACUGAACCUGGUAUCAGGUUAGGACACGGGGGUUUAUAUAUUAACCAAUGUACUGUACAUCUCCAUGUUUUCUUUCUAAUUCACAGUGUAAGAAAGGAUGGAACCAAUAGCAUUUGAAACAUUUCUCCAAUUUUAUGCCUCACAGAGUUUGUGUACUUUCAGGGGUCUUCAUGAUCAGACAGACCAAAAUAUACACUUAGGAAAGUAUAAAUCCAGUCUUCCAAAAAAAAGAAAGAUGUUUGGAUACAAGAUGCUUCAAGCCUUUCUCUUCCAAAAAAGAAUUUUGGCACAAAAUCUCCAAUGAUCAGUUUCUCUCAUUUGCUUCUUUGUGUAAGAGAUAAGGAGAGGAAAUCUGAAAUGGUUCUGUAGUUGGACAAAUCAAAUCCCAAAAGUCAAGGGACAGAGUGUGGUUAGAGAUUGAGUAAAUGGGCCAUUUUAUCACAGGGGCAGGAUGGGACCCCUCCAAGAAAGGAGCAUCUAACCCUGCCAAGAUUGGGGAUGUUUCUCCAGAGCUGGUAGCAUCAAACCUGAAACCAGAGGGAUGAGUCAGGGUUAGUCAGGUGAAGAGGGGGAUGGGAUGGGUCUUCCAGCCAGGGGAACCUCAUGUGCAGAAGCCAGCAGUGAGAGAUCAUGGAAAAUUCAGCAGGGAGAGAUCAAGGAGUUAGUAUGGCUGGAGUGCGGGAUAUACUGGGGAGGUGAGGGUUGGGGUUGGGGUCAGGGGUGGAAAAUGGCAAUGAGAAAUAGGCGGCUGAUCCUAAAGAGUCUGCUAGGUCAUGUCAAGGAAUUAGGACUUCAUUUUGAGGGCAUUCCUAGAUGUCAUGGAAAGAUCUUAUGCUGAGAAGUGUUAAGAUCAGGGCUGAGUUCAUGGAUUGGCAAAGUUAGAGUUGGGGACACCAGUCAGGGGCUGGUGCAGCAAUGCAGGUGAGAGGUGACUGUGGCCUGGACCAAGGCUGCGGGAGUGAAUGGAAGGGAAGGAUGGUUCCAGGAGGGGUUUAGGGCAGGGAAACAGGACUCAGGGGUUGGCUAGAAGUGCAGAUGGGGGAAAAGACAGUGGUUAAAGCUGACCAGGGUCAUGACACUUUUGAGGCUCUCCAGAUAUUGUGGAGUCUAGUGUCCUGGCUUCUGAAGGACUGACUAUGUUAUUCCAGCACAGCUCACCUGAAAAAAACAAAAACAAACAAACAAAAAAAAACCUUACAUGUCUGCCAGAAAUGUGUAGGCAACUUUAACUUUCUACAUAAUGUAUAUGAGUUUGUGUUCAUUCUCUGUAACUUAAUAGUAGGUUCCAAAGAAAAACUUUAAAUUUAAUAAAACUUAAAUGGAACAUCUGGCGAAAACCCUCCAAAUACCGUUAAAUGAUUAUAUGACUUUGGUUGAGCCCAGGUAUGAAUUACUAUCUGAGCUCUGAUUGCCUCUCUCACUUUGAAAAGACUGGUAAGUUUCUUAUUUUUUCGAUGAGAACCAAAGCUCUGGAUCUUGUGGGGUUUUUGGGGUCCUUUUUUUGUUGUUGUUAUUUGUAAGAACCAACUUGAUACAUUGUAUGUCUAUAGGAUUACUUUCUCAUUUCUUUUUCAGUUUUAUUGAGAGAGUUGGCAUACAGCUCUGUGUGAGUUUAAGAUGUAUACCGUGUAGGGGCGCCUGGGUGGCGCAGUCGGUUAAGCGUCCGACUU